UAAAACUUUCAACAAUGGAUCUCUUGGUUCCGGCAUCGAUGAAGAACGCAGCGAAAUGCGAUAACUAAUGUGAAUUGCAGAAUUCAGUGAAUCAUCGAGUCUUUGAACGCACAUUGCGCCCCCUGGUAUUCCGGGGGGCAUGCCUGUCCGAGCGUCAU
This 158-nucleotide ribosomal RNA is filed under the name Aspergillus terreus. Its description in RNAcentral is "5.8S ribosomal RNA". It matches the Rfam family "5.8S ribosomal RNA". Rfam says of the family: 5.8S ribosomal RNA (5.8S rRNA) is a component of the large subunit of the eukaryotic ribosome. It is transcribed by RNA polymerase I as part of the 45S precursor that also contains 18S and 28S rRNA. Lineage: Eukaryota; Fungi; Ascomycota; Eurotiomycetes; Eurotiales; Aspergillaceae. The record is from RNAcentral.